UGUACACGCUGUGACUAGCAUAUCAAUAAGCGGAGGAAAAGAAACUAACAAGGAUCCCCUAGUAACGGCGAGUGAAGCGGGAAGAGCUCAAAUUUGAAAUCUUAAAGGGUUUCCCUUUACGAAUUGUAGUUUAAAGAAGUGUUUUCUGUUGAGGUUUUGGUAAAAGUUCUUUGGAAUAGGACAUCAUAGAGGGUGAGAAUCCCGUAUUUGACCUUUACUUUCAACUUUGUGAUAGCACUUUCAAAGAGUCGGAUUGUUUGGGAAUGCAGUCCAAAAUGGGUGGUAAAUUUCAUCUAAAGCUAAAUAUUGGCGAGAGACCGAUAGCGAACAAGUACCGUGAGGGAAAGAUGAAAAGAACUUUGAAAAGAGAGUUAAACAGUACGUGAAAUUGUCAAAAGGGAAGCGUUUGACACCAGUGUUGUUUUUCUGAAAAUCAAUUAAAGAACUGCUUAUGCUAAGUUGUUUAGACUUUAUCAGUUAACUGUUUAGUUUUGAGCUUUUCUUUAAUGCACUUUUCAGUUAACAAGUCAACAUCAAUUUCUUUUGCUGUAAAAAAGCUUGAGGAAGGUGGCUUGAGAUUCGUCUUAAGUGUUUAUAGCCUCUUGCCUAUGCAGUCGGAGAGAUUGAGGUCUGCAGCGUAGAUCCUUCGGGGCUAAAUGCAUUUGUGCUAAGUUAUAGCAUUUUAUAGACAACUUGUUGACUAUGAUUUGUCUUGUAGCUUACUCGCUUAUGUUAUUUUACCUACGCUUAGGAUGUUGAAGAUGUAGCACAUCAU
This 775-nucleotide ribosomal RNA is filed under the name uncultured Neocallimastigales. RNAcentral describes it as "partial large subunit ribosomal RNA". It matches the Rfam family "Eukaryotic large subunit ribosomal RNA", at positions 22 to 635 of the family's 3401-position model. The record is from RNAcentral. Lineage: Eukaryota; Fungi; Neocallimastigomycota; Neocallimastigomycetes; Neocallimastigales.